Molecule: ribosomal RNA, 464 nt
Filed under: uncultured Pelotomaculum sp.
Lineage: Bacteria; Bacillati; Bacillota; Clostridia; Eubacteriales; Desulfotomaculaceae
Description: bacterial SSU rRNA
Rfam family: Bacterial small subunit ribosomal RNA
Source: RNAcentral
CCGCACAAGCGGUGGAGCAUUGUGGUUUAAUUCGACGCAACGCGAAGAACCUUACCAGGGCUUGACAUCCCCUGACCGCGUAUGAAAGUACGUUUUCACCCUCGGGUGACAGGGAGACAGGUGGUGCAUGGUUGUCGUCAGCUCGUGUCGUGAGAUGUUGGGUUAAGUCCCGCAACGAGCGCAACCCCUACGUUUAGUUGCUAACGCGUGAAGGCGAGCACUCUAGACGAACUGCCGUUGACAAAACGGAGGAAGGUGGGAUGACGUCAAAUCAUCAUGCCCCUUAUGUUCUGGGCUACACACGUGCUACAAUGGCCGGUACAGACGGACGCAAAGCCGCGAGGUGGAGCAAAUCCUAAAAAGCCGGUCUCAGUUCGGAUUGCAGGCUGCAAUUCGCCUGCAUGAAGUCGGAAUCGCUAGUAAUCGCAGGUCAGCAUACUGCGGUGAAUACGUUCCCGGGCCUU